This 497-nucleotide ribosomal RNA is filed under the name uncultured bacterium. Its description in RNAcentral is "partial 16S ribosomal RNA". It matches the Rfam family "Bacterial small subunit ribosomal RNA", at positions 28 to 507 of the family's 1533-position model. The record is from RNAcentral.
GAUGAACGCUGGCGGCGUGCCUAAUACAUGCAAGUCGAGCGAACAGACGAGGAGCUUGCUCCUCUGACGUUAGCGGCGGACGGGUGAGUAACACGUGGAUAACCUACCUAUAAGACUGGGAUAACUUCGGGAAACCGGAGCUAAUACCGGAUAAUAUAUUGAACCGCAUGGUUCAAUAGUGUAAGACGGUUUUGCUGUCGAUUAUAGCUGGAUCCGCGCCGCAUUAGCUAGUUGGUAAGGUAACGGCUUACCAAGGCAACGAUGCGUAGCCGACCUGAGAGGGUGAUCAGCCACACUGGAACUGAGACACGGUCCAGACUCCUACGGGAGGCAGCAGUAGGGAAUCUUGCGCAAUGGGCGAAAGCCUGACGGAGCAACGCCGCGUGAGUGAUGAAGGUCUUCGGAUCGUAAAACUCUGUUAUUAGGGAAGAACAAAUGUGUAAGUAACUAUGCACGUCUUGACGGUACCUAAUCAGAAAGCCACGGCUAACUACGUG